UCCGUAGGUGAACCUGCGGAAGGAUCAUUAAAGAUUCACAACUGUGCGCUCCGGUUGCACGUUGUAUAAACCUCACACACAUCGUGCACAACCUCGGUCGCGGUCUUAAUUGACCGCCUCCGCCUUUCACAUGCAACAAGUAGUCUAGAAUGUAAAAACCAUAACAAAAUACAACUUUCAACGACGGAUCUCUUGGCUCUCGCAUCGAUGAAGAACGCAGCGAAAUGCGAUAAGUAAUGUGAAUUGCAGAAUUCAGUGAAUCAUCGAAUCUUUGAACGCAUCUUGCGCUCCUUGGUAUUCCAUGGAGCAUGCCUGUUUGAGUGUCACGUAAACCCUCACACCUGCGACGUAAAAAUCGCCUGUUGUGGAUUUGGACCGUGCCGUAAUUGGCUCGUCCUUGAAAUGCAUUAGCUUGUGCUCGUUAGAGUGCUCGGCAUGGUGUGAUAAUUAUCUGCGCCGUUAUGCCUUAGGCCUCUUCUGUGUGCGCUGCUUCCAAUCGUCCCCCGUGGACGACGUAAAUUUAAAGCUUUGGCCUCAAAUCAGGUAGGACUACCCGCUGAACUUAAGCAUAUCAAUAAGCGGAGGA
RNAcentral lists this ribosomal RNA (586 nucleotides) under uncultured Basidiomycota. Its description in RNAcentral is "eukaryotic LSU rRNA". The stretch from base 173 to 326 matches the Rfam family "5.8S ribosomal RNA". The record is from RNAcentral. Lineage: Eukaryota; Fungi; Basidiomycota.